UGAGAGUUUGAUCCUGGCUCAGGAUGAACGCUGGCAACGUGGAUAAGGCAUGCAAGUCGAAUGCUACCUCUUAGGAAAGCAUGGCAAACGGGCUAGUAACACGUGGGAAUCUGCCCCAAAGUUAAGGACAACCCGAAGAAAUUCGGGAUAAUACCUAAUGUGCUCUUCGGAGUAAAGAUUUAUCGCUUUGGGAGGAGCCCGCGCACUAUCAGCUUGUUGGUGGGUAAUGGCCCACCAAGGCUAUGACGGUUAGGGGAUGUGAGAGCAUGACCCCCAGCAUUGGAACUGAGACACUGUCCAAACACCUACGGGUGGCUGCAGUCUAGAAUCUUCCACAAUGGGCGAGAGCCUGAUGGAGCGACGUUGCGUGCGGGAUGACGGCCCUCGGGUUGUAAACCGCUUUUAUUAGGGAUGGAUUUUUGACAGUACCUAAUGAAUAAGAGGUUGCUAACUCUGUGCCAGCAGCAGCAGUAAUACAGAGACCUCGAGCGUUAUCCGGAUUUACUGGGCGUAAAGCGUCUGUAGGGGGAUUAUGAAGUUCCAAGUAAAAUCUUAAGGCUCAACUUUAAGUUCGCUUGGAAAACUCGUAAUCUGGAGCAUAGCAGAGGUGCAUGGAACUUGUGGUGUAGGAGUGAAAUCCGUUGAUAUCACAAGGAACACCAAAGGCGAAGGCAUUGCACUAGGCUAUUGCUGACCCUGAGAGACGAAAG
This 710-nucleotide ribosomal RNA is filed under the name uncultured bacterium. Its description in RNAcentral is "bacterial SSU rRNA". It matches the Rfam family "Bacterial small subunit ribosomal RNA", at positions 1 to 759 of the family's 1533-position model. The record is from RNAcentral.